Molecule: transfer RNA, 75 nt
Filed under: Escherichia coli
Lineage: Bacteria; Pseudomonadati; Pseudomonadota; Gammaproteobacteria; Enterobacterales; Enterobacteriaceae
Description: tRNA-Lys
Rfam family: tRNA
About the family: Transfer RNA (tRNA) molecules are approximately 80 nucleotides in length. Their secondary structure includes four short double-helical elements and three loops (D, anti-codon, and T loops).
Source: RNAcentral
UGGGUCGUUAGCUCAGUUGGUAGAGCAGUUGACUUUUAAUCAAUUGGUCGCAGGUUCGAAUCCUGCACGGUUGGU